Molecule: transfer RNA, 71 nt
Filed under: Anablepsoides stagnatus
Lineage: Eukaryota; Metazoa; Chordata; Actinopteri; Cyprinodontiformes; Rivulidae
Description: tRNA-Gln
Rfam family: tRNA
About the family: Transfer RNA (tRNA) molecules are approximately 80 nucleotides in length. Their secondary structure includes four short double-helical elements and three loops (D, anti-codon, and T loops). Further hydrogen bonds mediate the characteristic L-shaped molecular structure. tRNAs have two regions of fundamental functional importance: the anti-codon, which is responsible for specific mRNA codon recognition, and the 3' end, to which the tRNAs corresponding amino acid is attached (by aminoacyl-tRNA synthetases). tRNAs cope with the degeneracy of the genetic code in two manners: having more than one tRNA (with a specific anti-codon) for a particular amino acid; and 'wobble' base-pairing, i.e. permitting non-standard base-pairing at the 3rd anti-codon position.
Source: RNAcentral
UAGAAAGUGGUGUAGUGGAUGCACGAAGAGUUUUGAUCUCUUUAGGCUGGGUUCGAAUCCCUUUUUUCUAA